ACUCCUUUGAAGCAGAAAUGGACAAGCACAGCACCGGUUCUUCCAGGGGCUCAACUCAGUGGUGUGAGGUGGCUAUGUAUGAUUACUUGGAUUACUUCGAGCGAGUGGAGACCAAAGGAAGUAAAUAAAAUCUCCUCCAAUGCAUUCCUGCUCGUCAUUUUGUAAAUAAUGUGCAUUUCUUUAUCUGAAUUAUAUAAGUCAUGUUAUGUAUGUAAAUAUUACAUAUUUUCAUAUUAAACCAUGUCUUCUCCAUCA
Girardinichthys multiradiatus is the source of this 255-nucleotide long non-coding RNA. RefSeq lists it as uncharacterized. NCBI's taxonomy places the organism in Eukaryota, Metazoa, Chordata, Actinopteri, Cyprinodontiformes, Goodeidae. The transcript has 2 exons. The record is from RefSeq and is a predicted model, not a curated record.